Molecule: long non-coding RNA, 731 nt
Filed under: Rattus norvegicus (Norway rat)
Lineage: Eukaryota; Metazoa; Chordata; Mammalia; Rodentia; Muridae
Description: long non-coding RNA NONRATT007165
Source: RNAcentral
CAUUCCCAAAGCUUAGGCAGGGUAGCAAAAAGCUAUAUGGAAUACCUAGUAUGGUAGAGUUAGAAAAUAUUUUGCAAGUUUUAUCACAAGUGUUUAAGCCAUUUGGAUUGAUAAUAGGUUCUGAGAAGAUUCAAAACGAACAGCUUGUUAAUUAUUUGGGAAAUGCUGUAGCUAGACAAUAGGUACUUCCACAAAAAUAGGCAGCUAAGACCAGAUUGCUGGAAAACAUUUAAUGUUUUCAAAAAUUAUUUGGAAAUAUUAAUUGGUUGUGUCCAUCUUUAGGGAUACCUACUUAUCAGCUACAUAAUUUAUUUAUGACAUUGCAGGGAGAUCCUGCCCCUGAAAGUAAAAGGGAACUAAUCUUAGAAGCAAAACAAGAAUUACAAAUAGUUGAAAAUCGUUUUAAGGAAAGCCUUUUGAGCUCUUUCCUUACUGAUGUCCCUGUUGAUGUGCUUAUAUUAAAUACUUUUCAGUAUCCAACUGGAAUAUUGGCUCAAAAAGAUCAUCCUUUAGAAUGGCUUUAUACUAGGAAUACUUUUUCUAAAGCUUUAACUAUUUUUGAAGAUAUGCUAUCUUUAUUGAUACAAAUGGGUUGUCAAAGAUGCAUACAAAUAAGUGGGUAUGAUUGUGCUUCUAUUAUAUUUCCUUUAACUAAAAAUAAAGUACAGUAUUUGUAUGCUAUAAGUAAAUCAUCACCGAUAACUUUAAUAAAUUUCAUGGGUCAAUUUAAA